CUUGACAAAAUUAUAAGAGGUCCAGCCUGCCCAGUGACUCUGUUCAACGGCCGCGGUAUCCUAACCGUGCGAAGGUAGCGUAAUCACUUGUUCUUUAAAUGAGGACUAGUAUGAAUGGCACCACGAAGGUUAUACUGUCUCCUUUUUCUAAUCAGUGAAACUAAUCUUCCCGUGAAGAAGCGGGAAUAAGAAUAUAAGACGAGAAGACCCUAUGGAGCUUUAAACAAAUAUACACCUGCCUUCCCAUCAAAAAAUUUCAGCAGACAAAUAAUUACCCAGGCAUUUUGAUAUAGCGUUUUAGGUUGGGGUGACCACGGAGCAAAAAACAACCUCCGCAACGAACGGGAAAUCUUCCCUAAACCAAGGGUUACGACCCCAAGUAUCGAUAAAUCGACACCAAUUGACCCAAUAAAUUUGAUCAAUGAAC
Molecule: ribosomal RNA, 427 nt
Filed under: Leptodactylus notoaktites group sp. ABGD cluster 61
Lineage: Eukaryota; Metazoa; Chordata; Amphibia; Anura; Leptodactylidae
Description: partial large subunit ribosomal RNA
Rfam family: Bacterial large subunit ribosomal RNA
Source: RNAcentral